This 377-nucleotide long non-coding RNA is filed under the name Parus major (Great Tit). RNAcentral's name for it is "lncRNA (ENSPMJG00000003904.1)". Lineage: Eukaryota; Metazoa; Chordata; Aves; Passeriformes; Paridae. The record is from RNAcentral.
AUUAAAACCUGGGGUUUUUAUUCCUGAGCCAAAUUUGUAAACAAGGCAUAGACCCAGACUUCUAAGCUGUCAUGGCAAAGGCUAGAAAAGGGGAAGAAACCAGUGCCAGCUCAAGUGAAGUGUAUGCUGUGAGUGUUGCUCUCAUUUCUAGCAGGGAGGACUUUGACAUUCUAAACCAGCAGCUCAGCCAUGGCCUCCAGAGGCCAAUGCAGCAGAAGCCCUUCAGAGAAAGAGGACCGUGGAAACUUGCCUUGUGUUGGUGGUACCUUCUGGUCAGGGCCCAGCAACAGUGGGACUGCAGGGAAGGGAAGCCACAGCCUUACGAAGUCACCAUCCAUUUUAGCAGCCAAGGCAGCUGCACACAGCAGAUUUGGUGA